This 323-nucleotide ribosomal RNA is filed under the name uncultured bacterium. RNAcentral's name for it is "bacterial SSU rRNA". It matches the Rfam family "Bacterial small subunit ribosomal RNA", at positions 29 to 334 of the family's 1533-position model. The record is from RNAcentral.
AAUGAACGCUGGCGGCGUGCCUAACACAUGCAAGUCGAACGAGAAAGGGGCCUUCGGGUCCUGAGUACAGUGGCAGACGGGUGAGUAACGCGCAGGUAACCUGUCCUCGAGUGGGGAAUAACCCGGCGAAAGCUGGGCUAAUACCGCAUGACAUCCCCGGGUCUCCGGGUUUGAGGAUCAAAGAUGGCGAACUUCGAGUGCUAUCGCUCGAGAGGGGGCCUGCGUCCCAUUAGCUAGUUGGUGAGGUAACGGCUCACCAAGGCUUCGGUGGGUAGCCGAGCUGAGAGGCUGAUCGGCCACACUGGAACUGAGACACGGUCCAG